Molecule: non-coding RNA, 987 nt
Organism: Triticum urartu
Lineage: Eukaryota; Viridiplantae; Streptophyta; Magnoliopsida; Poales; Poaceae
Source: RefSeq, a predicted model, not a curated record
UCAUACAAUCAUCUCCUCCCUUCGUACGACAUCCUCCCCGCAUAAGAAAAUAGGGCGAGAGAGAAAAAGAAACGGAGGAAAAAUGAAAGGAAACCACGAGCACACAACCCCACGACCCCACGAUCCAAUCCCAGACGCCCUCGCCCCGAGAGGCCGAGAGAAAUCUCCCCGCUUCAGGUUCCGCCCUGCGGUCUUCCCGUCGCCGUCGAUUGUCUCUCGCCUCGUCCAGUCCAUGGGCCUUUCGCCAUGCCCGCGAUGCGCCAGGGCCGGGAUCAGUACAGCGCCUGCAGAGAGUGGUAUGAGCGCAGCGCAGCCGACGCCUCCUCUCCACCCGCCGCUGGUGAGGACUCUGAGGAUGGCUACCGAUCACGGUCUCUUUUCAUCAUACAGGCAAGGAGACCAUCGAUCGGAACCGGUGCACGACGUGUGGCAUGCCAUUAGAGAAUAGUGAAGCAAGUCCAUGGAUGAAGAAUCCUUAGCACCGGCCUAUGUGGCAGCAUUAAACAGUUCGUGUGAAGGGACUCAUCAUUGCUUCGACACUGAUUCAGUAGGAAUCACCAGUUCACCACCGCCGCCGCCGUUGAAAGCGUGUAGAAAUAGUGUUUUUUUUCUGUUCUCCUCAUUGGUGUUCCGGUCCCUUCCUAUCGACUCAUGCAGAUUCCCGACAUGUCCGUAGUUUUGUUUGUUCAGAUGCAGGUUCUCUCCUAGGUUUGAUGGUGCAGAAGCCAGCGGCAUUGGCGCGCUGCAGCCUGCAGGUCAUGGAUGUGAAGAAGCAAGCACGAGGCCGGGCUGUCUAGCAGCAGGGCACUGUAUUUCUCAAUCCUAAAUCCUGCUUUCCUUUCUUUAUUUUUUGUCGCUUGAUCUGGAUUGGCGAUUGGGAUCAAUUAGAAAAUGUAGACCAAUGUAGGAAUUACUUUUGCUGUAUAUUGUUAAUGUAGCAACUAAAACGAGUAAAUUACGUGAUGCAUCUCAUUUGGACGGAGAACA